UACGGAGGGUGCAAGCGUUAUCCGGAUUCACUGGGGUUAAAGGGUGCGUAGGUGGGCAGGUAAGUCAGUGGGGAAAUCUCUGGGCUUAACCCGGAAACUGCCGUUGAUACUAUCUGUCUUGAAUAUAGUGGAGGUGAGCGGAAUAUGUCAUGUAGCGGUGAAAUGCUUAGAUAUGACAUAGAACAUCGAUUGCGAAGGCAGCUCGCUACACUAUGAUUGACACUGAGGCACGAAAGCGUGGGGAUCAAACAGG
Molecule: ribosomal RNA, 253 nt
Filed under: uncultured bacterium
Lineage: Bacteria
Description: partial 16S ribosomal RNA
Rfam family: Bacterial small subunit ribosomal RNA
Source: RNAcentral